AGGGUUAUAGUUAAUUAUAACAUUUGGGUUGCAUUCAAAAAUAUUGAUAUAUCAAUUAACCUUU
This 64-nucleotide transfer RNA is filed under the name Physemacris variolosa. RNAcentral's name for it is "tRNA-Ala". Lineage: Eukaryota; Metazoa; Arthropoda; Insecta; Orthoptera; Pneumoridae. The record is from RNAcentral.